This 484-nucleotide ribosomal RNA is filed under the name uncultured bacterium. RNAcentral's name for it is "partial 16S ribosomal RNA". It matches the Rfam family "Bacterial small subunit ribosomal RNA", at positions 30 to 507 of the family's 1533-position model. The record is from RNAcentral.
AUUGAACGCUGGCGGCAGGCCUAACACAUGCAAGUCGAGCGGAUGAAGGGAGCUUGCUCCUGGAUUCAGCGGCGGACGGGUGAGUAAUGCCUAGGAAUCUGCCUGGUAGUGGGGGAUAACGUCCGGAAACGGGCGCUAAUACCGCAUACGUCCUGAGGGAGAAAGUGGGGGAUCUUCGGACCUCACGCUCUCAGAUGAGCCUAGGUCGGAUUAGCUAGUUGGUGGGGUAAAGGCCUACCAAGGCGACGAUCCGUAACUGGUCUGAGAGGAUGAUAAGUCACACUGGAACUGAGACACGGUCCAGACUCCUACGGGAGGCAGCAGUGGGGAAUAUUGGACAAUGGGCGAAAGCAUGAUCCAGCCAUGCCGAGUGUGUGAAGAAGGUCUUCGGAUUGUAAAGCACUUUAAGUGGGGAGGAAGGGCAGUAAGUUAAUACCUUGCUGGUUUGACGUUACCAACAGAAUAAGCACCGGCUAACUUCGUG